UACGUAGGGUGCAAGCGUUGUCCGGAGUUACUGGGCGUAAAGCGCACGCAGGCGGUCGAUUAAGUUUGGAGUGACAGUUGGUGGCUUAACUGCCAAAGUGCUUUGAAAACUGAUCGACUUGAGGGCUUCAGAGGGACACGGAAUUCCGGGUGGAGUGGUGAAAUGCGUAGAGAUCCGGAGGAACACCGAAGGCGAAGGCAGUGUCCUGGGGAGUACCUGACGCUCAGGUGCGAAAGCCAGGGGAGCAAACGGG
RNAcentral lists this ribosomal RNA (253 nucleotides) under uncultured bacterium. Its description in RNAcentral is "partial 16S ribosomal RNA". It matches the Rfam family "Bacterial small subunit ribosomal RNA", at positions 524 to 776 of the family's 1533-position model. The record is from RNAcentral.